CAAUAGCGUAUAUUUAAGUUGUUGCAGUUAAAAAGCUCGUAGUUGGAUUUCGGGUGGGACGCAGCGGUCUCGCAUUGCGUUUGUACUGCUGCAGCCCUCCUUCUUGCCGGGGGCGGCCUCUCGGACUUCACUGUCUGGGGGUCAGAAUCGGCGAUGUUACUUUGAGUAAAUUAGAGUGUCCAAAGCAAGCUUACGCUCUGAAUAUAAUAGCAUGGGAUAACACGACAGGACUCUGGCCUAUCGUGUUGGUCUAUAGGACCAGAGUAAUGAUUAAGAGGGACAGUCGGGGGCAUUCGUAUUCCGUUGUCAGAGGUGAAAUUCUUGGAUUUACGGAAGACGAACAUCUGCGAAAGCAUUUGCCAAGGAUGUUUNCAUUG
RNAcentral lists this ribosomal RNA (377 nucleotides) under uncultured eukaryote. RNAcentral describes it as "partial 18S ribosomal RNA". It matches the Rfam family "Eukaryotic small subunit ribosomal RNA", at positions 592 to 975 of the family's 1831-position model. The record is from RNAcentral.